Molecule: ribosomal RNA, 373 nt
Filed under: uncultured organism
Description: bacterial SSU rRNA
Rfam family: Bacterial small subunit ribosomal RNA
Source: RNAcentral
CAGAGGGGGCAAGCGUUGUUCGGAAUUACUGGGCGUAAAGGGCGCGUAGGCGGCCUGCUAAGUCGAACGUGAAAUCCCUGGGCUCAACCCAGGAACUGCGUCCGAUACUGGUUGGCUUGAAUUCGGGAGAGGGAUGUGGAAUUCCAGGUGUAGCGGUGAAAUGCGUAGAUAUCUGGAGGAACACCGGUGGACGAAGGCGGCAUCCUGGACCGAUAUUGACGCUGAUGCGCGAAAGCCAGGGGAGCAAACGGGAUUAGAUACCCCGGUAGUCCUGGCCCUAAACGAUGAAUGCUUGGUGUGGCGGGUAUCGAUCCCUGCCGUGCCGAAGCUAACGCAUUAAGCAUUCCGCCUGGGGAGUACGGUCGCAAGGCUG